Molecule: non-coding RNA, 184 nt
Filed under: Ditibartonella apis
Lineage: Bacteria; Pseudomonadati; Pseudomonadota; Alphaproteobacteria; Hyphomicrobiales; Bartonellaceae
Source: RNAcentral
AAUGUCGUGGUUCUCUAUUUUUAAAAAAUGGAGCUAAGAGGGAAUUCGGUGAAGACAUUUCAAAUGCCGAAGCUGCCCCCGCAACUGUGAACGGCGAGCCGAUAUUGAUAAAACCACUGGAAUUAUUUCCGGGAAGGUAGAUAAAGGUGUUGACCCGUAAGCCAGGAGACCUGCCGCGACAAAU